GGGCGUAAAGCGCGCGCAGGCGGAUGAGGAAGUCAGGGGUGAAAGACCGGGGCUCAACUCCGGGGUUGCCUCUGAUACUCCUUGUCUAGGGACCGGUAGAGGCCGGUGGAAUUCCGAGUGUAGAGGUGAAAUUCGUAGAUAUUCGGAAGAACACCAGUGGCGAAGGCGACUGACUGGACAAGUAUUGACGCUGAGGUGCGAAAGCGUGGGGAGCAAACAGG
RNAcentral lists this ribosomal RNA (221 nucleotides) under uncultured bacterium. RNAcentral's name for it is "partial 16S ribosomal RNA". It matches the Rfam family "Bacterial small subunit ribosomal RNA", at positions 556 to 776 of the family's 1533-position model. The record is from RNAcentral.